This is a long non-coding RNA of Aethalodelphis obliquidens (Pacific white-sided dolphin), 579 nucleotides long. RefSeq lists it as uncharacterized. Lineage: Eukaryota; Metazoa; Chordata; Mammalia; Artiodactyla; Delphinidae. The transcript is spliced from 4 exons. The record is from RefSeq and is a predicted model, not a curated record.
CGUGUGUAUAUGAGUUGAUAAUGGUGAUAGUACUCUGUUAAUGUUGAAAGUGAAGGUGAUACAGCUCUGAAGAGAGUGAAGGUGAGAAAAUAAGCACCAUUGUUAAGCUUUAUGCAUGUUACAUUAUCAGCAUAGCAACUUGUACAAGGAAACAUUUUCACUUCUUUUUUAAUAGAUGAGCUAUCAGAGGAUCAGAGAAACAAGAACCUCACCCUUGGAUAAGGCCUUGUCCAGGCAGUGGCAGCGAGACUGGGAGGAAAAAUCUCACCCUGCUCCUCAGGGGUAAAGCUGACAGCUCUCCUGGAGGUAUACAGGAAGGCAUUCUGGCUUCCAUGCGGAGAUCCUCUGUACAAGCACAACUUGGUGGCAUCCUGACUGCCUCAGAGAAGCACCAUCAUCACCUUUGAGAUGGAGUCUUAGAAGGCUUCUUCCAGCCAGUUGUAAGCAGCCCUGUAUUUAGUGACAUCAUAUUGGCGGCUCAAAUUACCCAUGGCUGGCAAAUGCUACAAAUCAGUAUCUACAGAGGAGAAAGGCCCACUAGAAGGAUAUUGGAAUGGAGACCUAGUACCCAACAGAGGU